GACGAACGCUGGCGGCGUGCUUAACACAUGCAAGUCGAACGGAAAGGCCCCUUUGGGGGUACUCGAGUGGCGAACGGGUGAGUAACACGUGAGUAACCUGCCCUUGACUUCGGGAUAACUUCAGGAAACUGGGGCUAAUACCGGAUAGGAAUCCUUGCUGCAUGGUGGGGGUUGGAAAGCUUCGGCGGUUUUGGAUGGACUCGCGGCUUAUCAGCUUGUUGGUGGGGUAGUGGCUUACCAAGGCUUUGACGGGUAGCCGGCCUGAGAGGGCGACCGGCCACAUUGGGACUGAGAUACGGCCCAGACUCCUACGGGAGGCAGCAGUGGGGAAGAUUGCACAAUGGGCGGAAGCCUGAUGCAUCAACGCCGCGUGCGGGAUGACGGCCUUCGGGUUGUAAACCGCUUUCAGCAGGGGCGAAGCUUGUGGUGACGGUACCUGCAGAAGAAGCACCGGCUAACUACGUG
This 465-nucleotide ribosomal RNA is filed under the name uncultured bacterium. Its description in RNAcentral is "partial 16S ribosomal RNA". It matches the Rfam family "Bacterial small subunit ribosomal RNA", at positions 28 to 507 of the family's 1533-position model. The record is from RNAcentral.